This 79-nucleotide ribosomal RNA is filed under the name Escherichia coli. Its description in RNAcentral is "partial 16S ribosomal RNA". It matches the Rfam family "Bacterial small subunit ribosomal RNA", at positions 1 to 77 of the family's 1533-position model. Lineage: Bacteria; Pseudomonadati; Pseudomonadota; Gammaproteobacteria; Enterobacterales; Enterobacteriaceae. The record is from RNAcentral.
UUAAAUUGAAGAGUUUGAUCAUGGCUCAGAUUGAACGCUGGCGGCAGGCCUAACACAUGCAAGUCGAACGGUAACGGGA